RNAcentral lists this ribosomal RNA (465 nucleotides) under Vreelandella stevensii. RNAcentral's name for it is "partial 16S ribosomal RNA". It matches the Rfam family "Bacterial small subunit ribosomal RNA", at positions 338 to 795 of the family's 1533-position model. The record is from RNAcentral. Lineage: Bacteria; Pseudomonadati; Pseudomonadota; Gammaproteobacteria; Oceanospirillales; Halomonadaceae.
CCUACGGGUGGCAGCAGUGGGGAAUAUUGGACAAUGGGCGAAAGCCUGAUCCAGCCAUGCCGCGUGUGUGAAGAAGGCCUUCGGGUUGUAAAGCACUUUCAGUGGGGAAGAAAGCCUUGGGGCUAAUACCCUCGAGGAAGGACAUCACCCACAGAAGAAGCACCGGCUAACUCCGUGCCAGCAGCCGCGGUAAUACGGAGGGUGCGAGCGUUAAUCGGAAUUACUGGGCGGAAAGCGCGCGUAGGCGGUCUGAUAAGCCGGUUGUGAAAGCCCCGGGCUCAACCUGGGAACGGCAUCCGGAACUGUCAGGCUAGAGUGCAGGAGAGGAAGGUAGAAUUCCCGGGGUAGCGGUGAAAUGCGUAGAGAUCGGGAGGAAUACCAGUGGCGAAGGCGGCCUUCUGGACUGACACUGACGCUGAGGUGCGAAAGCGUGGGUAGCAAACAGGAUUAGAUACCCUUGUAGUC